GUAAACUGUCGGUUUACCCCCUGAACUUUCACCUCAUUUUCGAUUUCUCCCCUGAACUUUUCUAUUGGAAAAUUAAGGACUCAAACUAAUUUUUUUAGCCAAUUUGCCCCCACCGUUAGUUUUUCAUAUAUUCCAUCCAUAUUUCCAUUAAGUGAGACCAUGUGCAUAACAUGUGAGGAUAGUUAAGUCAUUUCAAUUUAAAAAUGAUUAAAAACUGAAAAUAAAUAAUAAUAAUAAUUUUCCCUCUAUUUUUUCCCGCUAAUUCAUAUCCUCAAUUUUAAUUUUCCCUCUCAUUCCUAUGCAUGAGAAAUAACAUAUGGUGUUAUUGUCUUCAUAAGUAGCUAAGUUAAUCUUUUUUUUGAAGCAUGUACUACCAUUUUUAUUUUCUCUAACAAAUUAAUAAUUUGACAAAUGCUCAUGGUGUUAUUGUCUCCAAAGCAGUGCAUUAAUAUAAGAAACAUGUCCAUAAAAAAGACUAG
This 479-nucleotide long non-coding RNA is filed under the name Malus domestica (apple). RNAcentral describes it as "long non-coding RNA (MDOM_LNC009579)". The record is from RNAcentral. Lineage: Eukaryota; Viridiplantae; Streptophyta; Magnoliopsida; Rosales; Rosaceae.